Molecule: transfer RNA, 76 nt
Filed under: Pseudomonadota bacterium
Lineage: Bacteria; Pseudomonadati; Pseudomonadota
Description: Proteobacteria bacterium (cold seep metagenome) tRNA-Lys
Rfam family: tRNA
About the family: Transfer RNA (tRNA) molecules are approximately 80 nucleotides in length. Their secondary structure includes four short double-helical elements and three loops (D, anti-codon, and T loops). Further hydrogen bonds mediate the characteristic L-shaped molecular structure. tRNAs have two regions of fundamental functional importance: the anti-codon, which is responsible for specific mRNA codon recognition, and the 3' end, to which the tRNAs corresponding amino acid is attached (by aminoacyl-tRNA synthetases). tRNAs cope with the degeneracy of the genetic code in two manners: having more than one tRNA (with a specific anti-codon) for a particular amino acid; and 'wobble' base-pairing, i.e. permitting non-standard base-pairing at the 3rd anti-codon position.
Source: RNAcentral
GGGCCGUUAGCUCAGCUGGUAGAGCAGCGGACUUUUAAUCCGUUGGUCAGGGGUUCAAAUCCCCUACGGCCCACCA